Molecule: ribosomal RNA, 448 nt
Filed under: uncultured Allobrachymonas sp.
Lineage: Bacteria; Pseudomonadati; Pseudomonadota; Betaproteobacteria; Burkholderiales; Comamonadaceae
Description: bacterial SSU rRNA
Rfam family: Bacterial small subunit ribosomal RNA
Source: RNAcentral
GCGGUGGAUGAUGUGGUUUAAUUCGAUGCAACGCGAAAACCUUACCCACCUUGACAUGGCAGGAAUCCCGAAGAGAUUGGGAGUGCUCGAAAGAGAACCUGCACACAGGUGCUGCAUGGCUGUCGUCAGCUCGUGUCGUGAGAUGUUGGGUUAAGUCCCGCAACGAGCGCAACCCUUGCCAUUAGUUGCUACGAAAGGGCAACUCUAAUGGGACUGCCGGUGACAAACCGGAGGAAGGUGGGGAUGACGUCAAGUCCUCAUUGGCCCUUAUAGGUGGGGCUACACACGUCAUACAAUGGCCGGUACGGAGGGUAGCCAACCCGCGAGGGGGAGCCAAUCCCACAAAGCCGGUCGUAGUCCGGAUCGCAGUCUGCAACUCGACUGCGUGAAGUCGGAAUCGCUAGUAAUCGCGGAUCAGCAUGUCGCGGUGAAUACGUUCCCGGGUCUU